Molecule: transfer RNA, 71 nt
Filed under: Nocardia asteroides
Lineage: Bacteria; Bacillati; Actinomycetota; Actinomycetes; Mycobacteriales; Nocardiaceae
Also listed under: 42 other names
Description: tRNA-Gln
Rfam family: tRNA
About the family: Transfer RNA (tRNA) molecules are approximately 80 nucleotides in length.
Source: RNAcentral
UCCGCCGUGGUGUAAUGGCAGCACAUCUGAUUUUGGUUCAGAGAGUUCAGGUUCGAGUCCUGGCGGCGGAG